RNAcentral lists this ribosomal RNA (500 nucleotides) under uncultured bacterium. RNAcentral's name for it is "partial 16S ribosomal RNA". It matches the Rfam family "Bacterial small subunit ribosomal RNA", at positions 30 to 523 of the family's 1533-position model. The record is from RNAcentral.
AUUGAACGCUGGCGGCAUGCCUUACACAUGCAAGUCGAACGGCAGCACGGGAGCAAUCCUGGUGGCGAGUGGCGAACGGGUGAGUAAUAUAUCGGAACGUGCCCAGUCGUGGGGGAUAACGUAGCGAAAGCUACGCUAAUACCGCAUACGAUCUACGGAUGAAAGCGGGGGAUCGCAAGACCUCGCGCGAUUGGAGCGGCCGAUAUCAGAUUAGGUAGUUGGUGGGGUAAAGGCUCACCAAGCCGACGAUCUGUAGCUGGUCUGAGAGGACGACCAGCCACACUGGGACUGAGACACGGCCCAGGCUCCAACGGGAGGCAGCAGUGGGGAAUUUUGGACAAUGGGCGCAAGCCUGAUCCAGCAAUGCCGCGUGCAGGAUGAAGGCCUUCGGGUUGUAAACUGCUUUUGUACGGAACGAAACGGCGAGCUCUAAUACAGUUUGCUAAUGACGGUACCGUAAGAAUAAGCACCGGCUAACUACGUGCCAGCAGCCGCAGUAA